Molecule: ribosomal RNA, 520 nt
Filed under: uncultured bacterium
Lineage: Bacteria
Description: bacterial SSU rRNA
Rfam family: Archaeal small subunit ribosomal RNA
Source: RNAcentral
AACCUCCGCAAUGUGAGAAAUCGCGACGGGGGGAUCCCAAGUGCCAUUCUUAACGGGAUGGCUUUUCAUUAGUGUAAAGAGCUUUUGGAAUAAGGGCUGGGCAAGACCGGUGCCAGCCGCCGCGGUAACACCGGCAGCUCUAGUGGUAGCAGUUUUUAUUGGGCCUAAAGCGUCCGUAGCCGGUUUAAUAAGUCUCUGGUGAAAUCCUGUAGCUUAACUGUGGGAAUUGCUGGAGAUACUAUUAGACUUGAGACCGGGAGAGGUUAGAGGUACUCCCAGGGUAGAGGUGAAAUUCUGUAAUCCUGGGAGGACCGCCUGUUGCGAAGGCGUCUAACUGGAACGGUUCUGACGGUGAGGGACGAAAGUUAGGGGCGCGAACCGGAUUAGAUACCCGGGUAGUCCUAACUGUAAACGAUGCGGACUUGGUGUUGGGGUGGCUUUGAGCUGCUCCAGUGCCGAAGGGAGCUGUUAAGUCCGCCGCCUGGGAAGUACGGUCGCAAGACUGAAACUUAAAAGGAAU